This 490-nucleotide ribosomal RNA is filed under the name uncultured bacterium. Its description in RNAcentral is "partial 16S ribosomal RNA". It matches the Rfam family "Bacterial small subunit ribosomal RNA", at positions 28 to 506 of the family's 1533-position model. The record is from RNAcentral.
GAUGAACGCUGGCUACAGGCUUAACACAUGCAAGUCGAGGGGAAACGACGGGGAAGCUUGCUUCCCCGGGCGUCGACCGGCGCACGGGUGAGUAACGCGUAUCCAACCUGCCUCUGACUGAGGGAUAACCCGUCGAAAGUCGGCCUAAUACCUCAUGGUAUCGUCUGCGGGCAUCCAACGACGAUUAAAGAUUUCAUCGGUCAGGGAUGGGGAUGCGUCUGAUUAGCUUGUUGGCGGGGUAACGGCCCACCAAGGCUACGAUCAGUAGGGGUUCUGAGAGGAAGGUCCCCCACAUUGGAACUGAGACACGGUCCAAACUCCUACGGGAGGCAGCAGUGAGGAAUAGUGGUCAAUGGGCGAGAGCCUGAACCAGCCAAGUAGCGUGCAGGAAGACGGCCCUAUGGGUUGUAAACUGCUUUUAUGCGGGGAUAAAGUGAGGGACGUGUCCCUCAUUGCAGGUACCGCAUGAAUAAGGACCGGCUAAUUCCGU